GUGGGGAAUAUUGGACAAUGGGCGAAAGCCUGAUCCAGCCAUGCCGCGUGUGUGAAGAAGGUCUUCGGAUUGUAAAGCACUUUAAGUUGGGAGGAAGGGCAGUAAGUUAAUACCUUGCUGUUUUGACGUUACCGACAGAAUAAGCACCGGCUAACUUCGUGCCAGCAGCCGCGGUAAUACGAAGGGUGCAAGCGUUAAUCGGAAUUACUGGGCGUAAAGCGCGCGUAGGUGGUUUUGUAAGUUGGAGGUGAAAUCCCCGGGCUCAACCUAGGAACUGCCUCCAAAACUGCAUGACUAGAGUACGGUAGAGGGUAGUGGAAUUUCCUGUGUAGCGGUGAAAUGCGUAGAUAUAGGAAGGAACACCAGUGGCGAAGGCGACUACCUGGACUGAUACUGACACUGAGGUGCGAAAGCGUGGGGAGCAAACAGGAUUAGAUACCCGUGUAGUCC
This 450-nucleotide ribosomal RNA is filed under the name uncultured bacterium. RNAcentral's name for it is "partial 16S ribosomal RNA". It matches the Rfam family "Bacterial small subunit ribosomal RNA", at positions 354 to 796 of the family's 1533-position model. The record is from RNAcentral.